UACGUAGGUGGCAAGCGUUAUCCGGAAUUACUGGGCGUAAAGCGCACGCAGGUGACUCGCUAAGACGGACGUGAAAGCUCCUGGCUUAACUGGGAGAGGUCGUUGGUGACUGGCGGGCUGGAGGCGAGGAGAGGGGUGUAGAAUUCCCGGUGUAGUGGUGGAAUGCGUAGAGAUCGGGAGGAAUACCAGUGGCGAAGGCGGCACCCUGGCCUUGGCCUGACGCUCAGGUGCGAAAGCGUGGGGAGCAAACGGG
This 253-nucleotide ribosomal RNA is filed under the name uncultured Caldilinea sp. RNAcentral describes it as "partial 16S ribosomal RNA". It matches the Rfam family "Bacterial small subunit ribosomal RNA", at positions 524 to 776 of the family's 1533-position model. The record is from RNAcentral. Lineage: Bacteria; Bacillati; Chloroflexota; Caldilineae; Caldilineales; Caldilineaceae.